This is a long non-coding RNA of Lontra canadensis (Northern American river otter), 641 nucleotides long. RefSeq lists it as uncharacterized. The record is from RefSeq and is a predicted model, not a curated record. The transcript is spliced from 3 exons. Lineage: Eukaryota; Metazoa; Chordata; Mammalia; Carnivora; Mustelidae.
CAACCAGACUCUGAGAAGUAGUACUUUGCCUCUUGGGUCACCAUUUCUCCAACGUGGGCCUCCUUUUUGGUUAUUUCUCUCAGAUCCAAACCUUAGAUUCCAGCCACGGACAACACAAGGACAGGGCCCUAGAUCGAGAUGACGACUGCAGAAGGAGGCCGAAUUGCCAGGCCUCGGCUCCUCUGGUUGGCUGUCCUACACGUCAGUCAGAAGUGAACAAGCUUUUAAUUGGUCUUAUGCAAUGGGAAACACAAAACACUCCUCUGAUUGGCCUCUUCGUCGAGGGGCGGGCCAUAGGGAGAGCGGCUUGUUAGGGCUGGAAUGGAAGACCAAUGGGAGCGCCGCAGCGCUGCUUUCGAAAGCGAGGCCUGCCCAACAGCACCUGGAAGAGUCCGCCGGUUGUCUCGGAGAUCCUGUGGCUUGUUUGCCAUCAGCAAAGCAAUUACAAAAGAGCUAUUGCCUGUACAGUCCUCUUCAUCAUUUGUGACCUGGGAUAUUGAGCUCAUGGGCUGGCAGAAUUCCAGUCCAUGAGGCAAUCUGUGUCAUUCUGGUCUAGCCAGGAACUUGAAUUCGGAGGAAGAUGGCAAAAUGGUGGACAAGUUAGGUGUCCAGCCCAUGCUAUCUGGAAGCAGAAAAUAUGG